This 638-nucleotide ribosomal RNA is filed under the name uncultured bacterium. Its description in RNAcentral is "bacterial SSU rRNA". The stretch from base 1 to 541 matches the Rfam family "Bacterial small subunit ribosomal RNA", at positions 338 to 873 of the family's 1533-position model. The record is from RNAcentral.
CCUACGGGAGGCAGCAGUGGGGAAUUUUGGACAAUGGGCGCAAGCCUGAUCCAGCCAUUCCGCGUGAGUGAAGAAGGCCUUCGGGUUGUAAAGCUCUUUCGCAAGGGAAGAAAACUUAGUCUCUAACAUAGACUGAGGUUGACGGUACCUUGAUAAGAAGCACCGGCUAACUACGUGCCAGCAGCCGCGGUAAUACGUAGGGUGCGAGCGUUAAUCGGAAUUACUGGGCGUAAAGCGUGCGCAGGCUGUUUUGUAAGUCAGAUGUGAAAUCCCUGAGCUCAACUUAGGAACUGCGUUUGAAACUACAAGACUAGAAUAUGUCAGAGGGGGGUAGAAUUCCACGUGUAGCAGUGAAAUGCGUAGAGAUGUGGAGGAAUACCAAUGGCGAAGGCAGCCCCCUGGGAUAAUAUUGACGCUCAUGCACGAAAGCGUGGGGAGCAAACAGGAUUAGAUACCCUGGUAGUCCACGCCCUAAACGAUGUCUACUAGUUGUUGGUGGAGUAAAAUCCAUGAGUAACGCGAGCGACGCGUGAGAGACGCCGUGGGUAGGUACGGUUCGCGAGAAGUUAAAACGUUAAAAGUUAGUUAGUUAGACGGCGUUGAGACGUUGCCGACGGACGACGACGAGGGAGGAGGAG